UGUAACCUACUAUAUUUCCAAAGGAGAUUCACCUGACGUAACAAUCGUCGUUCCUUCCAGCGAUCCUGAGCAGCCAUUCCUCACCAUUCUGCCCUACGCUGCUGAGAAGGCCUGCUUCGUUAUGAAAACGGCUGAGCUCCAAGAGCAGUGCAUCUUGUGGGUGGACGAAGCAAUCAAGGACAACUUCCCUGAGAAAUGCACUCAAGGAUACAAGGCAGCAUGCCCUGACGGAGCUUUGCUUUACAAAACGGGUGCGUGCGACGCUGUAAACGCAUCUUGAGGACAAGGAAAGUAAUAAAAGGAUUCAUUGACUAUGCCUGCGUUUGGACAAGUAUGCGGUAGUUGUGCAGUAGCCAUCGAUAGCAUCAAAUAGUUGAAAGCUGUAGGCGCCGUUGCCUCAGCCUGUAUGUAUUUAACCGUAGAAGAAUUAAAGUGCUUAU
Molecule: long non-coding RNA, 440 nt
Filed under: Dermacentor andersoni
Lineage: Eukaryota; Metazoa; Arthropoda; Arachnida; Ixodida; Ixodidae
Description: uncharacterized LOC126522278
Source: RNAcentral